UACGAAGGGAGCUAGCGUUGUUCGGAAUUACUGGGCGUAAAGGGUGCGCAGGCGGGUUUGCAAGUUCGAUGUGAAAGCCCCGGGCUUAACCCGGGAAUGGCAUUGGAUACUGCAGAUCUGGAGGAUCGGAGGGGGGACUGGAAUUCUUGGUGUAGCAGUGAAAUGCGUAGAUAUCAAGAGGAACACCAGUGGCGAAGGCGAGUCCCUGGACGAUACCUGACACUGAGGCACGAAAGCUAGGGGAGCAAACAGG
This 253-nucleotide ribosomal RNA is filed under the name uncultured bacterium. Its description in RNAcentral is "partial 16S ribosomal RNA". It matches the Rfam family "Bacterial small subunit ribosomal RNA", at positions 524 to 776 of the family's 1533-position model. The record is from RNAcentral.